CGGGAAAGGCAGUGUUGUUUUUUCGUUCUUUGUGGAAGUCGGUCGGCGGUGUGUUCGGGAUCGGGAGGGGGUUCUCGCCCCUUUGGACGGGAGCCGGAGGCGGAUUAUUCUCUGCGGGGCAACACCAACAAUUUACGUUCGUUCGACCUGCGGUGAGAGGUCUAUUGGAAGAAAGGCCCCAACUGGAAGCAAACAACGGCUGAAGACGGGAACAGCAACAAGUGAACCAGCGCGAGGACUGAGAGCAUCAACGAGAGAACACUCCUGACUCAGAGUUUCCAUUGAUUCAGUCAGGAGAAAGUUUGGUUAAAAAUGACAAGGAAUUUGUCUACGGGAAUGUAUAACAUAACACACACGUUUUGCUGUCUCUUUUGAUAUUUAAGAAGUGGAGCAAGGGAUUCACUCGAUUAUCCUUCCUGCUCAGACUGUGGCGAGGGAUUUACUCGGUCAUUUCAAUUGAAGGUACAUCAGCAAGUUCGCACUGGGACAAGGCCGUUCACCUGUUCUGUUUGUGAGAA
Hypanus sabinus (Atlantic stingray) is the source of this 518-nucleotide long non-coding RNA. RefSeq lists it as uncharacterized. The record is from RefSeq and is a predicted model, not a curated record. The transcript has 3 exons. NCBI's taxonomy places the organism in Eukaryota, Metazoa, Chordata, Chondrichthyes, Myliobatiformes, Dasyatidae.